Molecule: non-coding RNA, 2598 nt
Organism: Labrus bergylta (ballan wrasse)
Lineage: Eukaryota; Metazoa; Chordata; Actinopteri; Labriformes; Labridae
Source: RefSeq, a predicted model, not a curated record
AACCUAUCCAGAUAAAUUGCGCCAUCCGGAUAGAGUGAAUUUGAUUGUGGUUGGAUGAAAAGUAUAAACAUAUACCAUUCUGACACGCUUUGGUGCGGCCUAAGCUUUUGUCCUCAAUGGCAUUUUUUUCCCCUUACAUUACUUUUACUUUUAUACUUUAAGUAGUUUUGAAACCAGUACUUUUACACUUUUAGUGUGUAGAGUAAAAAGCUCGAGUUGAUACUUCAACUUCUACAAAAGUCUUUUUAAACCAUAGUAUUUGAUUGGCGGCUGUAGCUCAGUUAGUAGAGUUGUCACCUCUAAAACUGGAAGGUCAAGGGUUCAAUCCCCAGCUGAGCAAAAUGUCCGAUGUGUUCUUGGCACCUAACACUGCAUUGCUUCCGCUGCUUCAGUGGCAGUGUAUGAAUGGAGUAGUGUUGUACUUAAUCUCUGGUGUACGUCGCUUUGGAUAAAAGCGACGUACACCAUAGUAUCUAUAAUGAACGUCAAUACUUUUGACACCUCUGGCUAAAUGUAUACACUUGACCAAAACUGGUUCUUCUGGUUUGCUUUAGCUAUGUUCGCCCCACCCACAGCAGACUUCCAGGGCCCCAGCGCUCCUCCGGCCAGUAUGUUUGACAACUUGCCUGGCUAUGAAGAAACAGUGGCGGGAGGAGAAGGUGGAUUUCUACCUCCUCCAAUGCCUUCUUACCCAGUUCCUCAGCCUGAACCUGGACCUCACCAACCACAAUGGAAUAUCCCGUCUAUCAGCAAGGACACUGCCCGGGAUGCGUUUGUCCUGUUUGCCUCCAGCAAAUGCUGCUACAGUGCAGCACCAGCAAAGGAUGGUGUGAUCACCAGUAUGGAGGCAUUUAAUGCUUACAGGUACCGCCUGGAAACCUUCACUGAAUCACGAUCUACAAAGUGGAAGCAUGAGCCAUACCAUAACCAGCCUUUGGAUGCCUUUGCCCAACCUCCACCAGGGCCGUGGGAUAUUCCUGCAAAAUCCCCCACCUUUUUUGUGGAUGACAAGCAGGUUAUAAAGGUUCCCAACACAUCCUCAUUGAAGAGCUGCCAUGCUUGUGUGGGAAUGGGGAGAAAACCUUGCAAUAGCUGUGUUGGUGCUGGAAAUAAAGUUUGUUGGGUCUGCAAUGGAUCCGGUUUCCGCCACGGAGAUGAUCGAUGCCACCACUGCAGUGGCAGAGGGAGGGAAAAUUGCAGCCACUGUCACGGGCAAGGAUCGGAGCAAUGUAUCACAUGUCAUGGAAAACGACAGCUUCUGGUCUACAUCAAACUCACCGUGAAAUGGACCAACAACACUGAUAACUGUGUUGUGGGACAGUCAAGUGGACUGCAGUUGGACAACCUGAGCAAAGUGUCUGGCGAGGAGCUUUUCAAAGACACUCAGUACAUGGUUUACCCAGUGACCGGCUUUCCAGAUGUUACAGUGGUGAAUACUGCACAGCGCCUUGUCGGAGAACACCAGAACAAGUUCUGCCAGAGCUCACGUAUUCUACAACAGCGUCAGACCAUAGAGCUGAUCCCCGUCACCAAAGUGACCUACUCAUGGAAAGAGAACUCACAUGUUUACUUUGUGUACGGAAAUGAGUUCAAAGUCAGUGCAGAUAAUUAUCCUGCUCCCUGUUGCUGUACUGUCAUGUAAUUGAAAUGCUUUUAUACAAAGGUAAUUCAAUUCCAGAUCAUUGGCUAUCAAAAUUAAGCAGUUUUACUACAAGUCACUUAUAUUGAUUAAUGGGAGGUUCCCUGAUAUGUAGGCAUAUAAGUCCUUUUUUAAGUUUAUCUAAGAAGAGGUCAACAAGCCAUUUAAGCAAGGAUGCCAAUUCAGUCAGAGGAACUAAUGAAAUCCAUUCAAUAAGUGAUCUUAAACGCCAAGCAGACAGUGAAUUUUCCUUUGAGCCGCUACAACAUUAGUAAGUAAAUAAAGUUUAUUUGUAUAGAACCAUUCACAGAUACACAUCACAAAGUGCUUUACAUUAAAACAAGUACACAAUUAAUCAAAAUAAAAAGAAGAGAACAGUAAUAAGCGCAGGGGAGAACAGAUAACAUCAUAACAACAAUAAAACUAAUAAGCACAGUGAUGCAUAAGAAUCCAAUGUUACUGAGAAAUAAAAGCAGAAUAAACAAGACAAUUAUAACUAAGUUAAAUUAAUAAUAAUAAUAUCAUUGUUAUUAUUGUAUGCCAUGUAUCAAUCGAUCAAUUGUUUUCUGUAUAGCACCAAUUCAUAACAAGUAUUAUCUUGAGGUAGUAUUAUGCUUUAUGGGAUAAUAUGCAGGCAGGAUUUCUCCUUUGUAUGCAUGACCUAAUAAAGAAAAUGCUUAUUGAUAACAUGUAAAAAUUUGUAAAUGAUACACUCUUUACACAUUUAUGUCAGUAAUGUUGUCGUUUCCAUCAUAAAUCAAAAUGUUUUAUACUGAAUAUUUUUUUGCAUUAUUAAACUUUUAGUAACAUGUGUAACGUGAUGUCACAUGGCAAAACUUUUUCUUUUUUUUAACAUGAAUGUUAAUCAUUACUAACUUUGUAUAAUCUCAACACACGACAAUAUCUCCGACUUGCUUUGUAUUUAUCUAUCAAUUUGAAUAAAUGGUAUUUUCACAAUG